This is a long non-coding RNA of Cyprinus carpio (common carp), 1276 nucleotides long. The record is from Ensembl. NCBI's taxonomy places the organism in Eukaryota, Metazoa, Chordata, Actinopteri, Cypriniformes, Cyprinidae.
AAUGACGUCGAAUCUAUUCGUGGCGGUUUUGAUAUAGUGACGCUGGACACUGCUAUAAGUCAAAUGGCCAUAGUGAUAACAAAAAUAAAAUCACACAUAUUUCACAUAUAUUACACAGCCUGCUGCUCAUAACUGCUUAAGAGUACGCUGGCCACGAGCGAUGACAUAUUGUCGGACCUACACACAAAUUUCAUGAGGAAAGUUAACGUGCACGUUAUAAUCAGCACAGAAGUUUCGUCUGAAUUGAACAUGUUUCUACUUUCACAUGCAAAUGAUUUGUUGCACUUAUGAAUAUGAUAACAUACCAGCAUCAAUUCUAGUAGGUUAAAACUUAAUUCUGAAACGGGCUGUUUAGCCCUGCCAUUAGGUGAAGCUUUGUGUGAACAAGCCACUGCUGCAGAGUGUGAGCAGCUCUCUCAAAACUGUCAAAGGUAGCUACAACAUAUCUGGAAAAUCGGCCAGCAUCAUGACUAAUAAUGCUGACAGGAAAUGACAUUCGGUGUACGUGAGCGUUUCUGUUCAGUGUGUCUUCACCCACAAUGUAACACCUGUUUAGUGUGACUCCCACAGUUCAGAGCACUUCACUGCUUUUCUGCUGCACAUUUCUCUGUUUGACAAUAAUGGGCAACUAUGACAUGUCUGAUCAUAUUUAUGACAACACCAACUGGAUGAAAAAGGAUUCAUUUGGAAUUAGGAAAUCUGCCAAAAAGAAGCAAUGUAGACCUAUCUGUGCCAAGGUUCUUGCUGUUCUCCUCAUCCUGUCUCUGCUGGUUAAUGGAGUGCUGGCAUACUUGUAUGUCAGUAAAUAUAAAAAUGUGCUGUUGCAGUGCGAGCCAGGAACAAACUGCUCAAAUUCAGACCAUCAUCAAGGAAUUCCGGGCUGCACAUAUGAUGAGGACUGGAGGUCAAUAACCUACUGCCCAGAUUUGCCAGAGCAGUGGUAUAAGGGCAAUGGCAGAUUUUACAUUUUCUCCAGUCACAACAAGACCUGGAACUCCAGCAGAGAGUAUUGUCAGGAUCUGGGUGGAGAUCUGGUCAUUAUCGACAACACAGAGGAGAAGGAAUUUCUUGCUCAGAGACUAUGUGUUGCUGGUGAAUCUGAUCUCUACUGGGCUGGGAACAAGGAUGGGAACUGGUCAGAUCUGAAUCCCAAAUACAACUGUGCUGUUCUUAAAGGAAAUACACAAGAAAACAUGCAUUGCUUAAGAGAAGAGAAGAGCAUUUGUGAGAUCCCAUGCCUUCAAUAAACCUACAAUAAAUGACUUAUUUUUUUACA